Molecule: ribosomal RNA, 468 nt
Filed under: uncultured bacterium
Lineage: Bacteria
Description: partial 16S ribosomal RNA
Rfam family: Bacterial small subunit ribosomal RNA
Source: RNAcentral
GACGAACGCUGGCGGCGUGCUUAACACAUGCAAGUCGAACGGAAAGGCCCUGCUUUUGUGGGGUGCUCGAGUGGCGAACUGGUGAGUAACACGUGAGUAACCUGCCCUUGACUUUGGGAUAACUUCAGGAAACUGGGGCUAAUACCGGAUAGGAGCUCCUGCUGCAUGGUGGGGGUUGGAAAGUUUCGGCGGUUGGGGAUGGACUCGCGGCCUAUCAGCUUGUUAGUGGGGUAGUGGCUUACCAAGGCUUUGACGGGUAGCCGGCCUGAGAGGGUGACCGGCCACAUUGGGACUGAGAUACGGCCCAGACUCCUACGGGAGGCAGCAGUGGGGAAUAUUGCACAAUGGGCGGAAGCCUGAUGCAGCAACGCCGCGUGCGGGAUGACGGCCUUCGGGUUGUAAACCGCUUUCGCCUGUGACGAAGCGUGAGUGACGGUAAUGGGUAAAGAAGCACCGGCUAACUACGUG